UGUGAUGUGUGUAUGUACAUG
This 21-nucleotide microRNA is filed under the name Rattus norvegicus (Norway rat). RNAcentral's name for it is "rno-miR-466c-5p". Its record names the gene rno-miR-466c-5p. Lineage: Eukaryota; Metazoa; Chordata; Mammalia; Rodentia; Muridae. The record is from miRBase by way of RNAcentral.